Molecule: transfer RNA, 64 nt
Filed under: Pseudagkistrodon rudis (Red keelback)
Lineage: Eukaryota; Metazoa; Chordata; Lepidosauria; Squamata; Natricidae
Description: tRNA-Thr
Rfam family: tRNA
About the family: Transfer RNA (tRNA) molecules are approximately 80 nucleotides in length. Their secondary structure includes four short double-helical elements and three loops (D, anti-codon, and T loops).
Source: RNAcentral
GCUCAAGUAGCUUAGUAUAAAGCAUUGUUUUUGUAAACCAAAGCCGGAUUAAACCCCUAGAGCA